Molecule: ribosomal RNA, 253 nt
Filed under: uncultured bacterium
Lineage: Bacteria
Description: partial 16S ribosomal RNA
Rfam family: Bacterial small subunit ribosomal RNA
Source: RNAcentral
UACGAAGGUGUCUAGCGUUGUUCGGAAUCACUGGGCAUAAAGCGGGCGCAGGCGGACUGUCAAGUCAGGGGUGAAAUCCUAAGGCUUAACCUUAGAAUUGCCUUUGAAACUGACAGUCUGGAGUGUGUGAGGGGGUAGCGGAAUUCCGAAUGUAGAGGUGAAAUUCGUAGAUAUUCGGAGGAACACCGGUGGCGAAGGCGGCUACCUGGCACACAACUGACGCUGAGGCCCGAAAGCGUGGGGAUCAAACAGG